Molecule: signal recognition particle RNA, 100 nt
Filed under: Planctomycetota bacterium
Lineage: Bacteria; Pseudomonadati; Planctomycetota
Description: Planctomycetes bacterium signal recognition particle sRNA small type
Rfam family: Bacterial small signal recognition particle RNA
About the family: The signal recognition particle (SRP) is a universally conserved ribonucleoprotein involved in the co-translational targeting of proteins to membranes.
Source: RNAcentral
GGCCUGGUCUCAUGCAAUGCGAUGCUGUCGGGCAUCGGGUCAGGCUGGAAACAGAGCAGCCCACCUGCGGUAGCCAUGUGCCGUGAGGUGCUGGGCCGCA